AUGGCGUCAGGGGAGGCAGAGCCGCUGCAGUACACGACCACCGUGCUGCGGGUGUCCAUCCACUGCGAGGGGUGCAAGAAGAAGGUGAAGAAGGUGCUCCACAGCAUCGAAGGCGUGUACAAGGUGACGAUCGACGCGACGCAGCACAAGGUGACGGUCACCGGCAGCGUGGCCGCCGACGCGCUCGUCAGACGGCUGCUCAAGUCCGGCAAGCACGCCGCGCUCUGGCCGGUGCCGGCGCCGGCGCCGCCCGCCACAGAGGCCAAGAAGCCUGAGGAGGCCCCGUCUGCCGGGAAGGGCGGCAAGGGCGCGGAGAAGGCGGACGCCAAGCCCAAAAAGGUGGCCGACGAGGCAGAGCCGGAGAGCUCGGAGAAGCCAGACAAGGACGAAGGUUCAGAGAAGAAACCAGAGAAAGCAGCGGCGAAGAAACCCAAGGACGAGGCCAAGGAGGAGGGAGAGGAUCCUGAGAAGAAGGAGAAGGGCUCGCCGGAGCCGCCAGCCAAAGAAGCGGCGGCCGCCGACGAGGCCCCGGAGGCGGGCGGAGAGGAGACGGGGGGCAAGAAGGGGAAGAAGAAGAAGAACAAGCAGCAGAAGGAGGUCGGCGACGGGGACGCCGCUACGGAGAAGCCGCCUCCGCCGCCGCAGCAGCAGCAACAGCAGCCAAAGACAAAGCAGCCACAGCCGCAGCAGGCGAUGCCGCCCGUGCCGGCGCCGGGGCCGGGACCAGAGCGCGCGCACGGCCACGGCGGCCCGUUCCCGUACUACGCGCCGCAGCCGGUGAUGAGCUACAACAUGGCGCAGCCGAGCGCGAGCGUGUCGUACUACGCGCCCACGCCGGUGGCGUCCAUGCAGCCAAUGCCGCCUCCGCCGCCGUACGGCGGGUACUCGCCUUACCCGCCGAUGAUGAUGCCGCCGCCGCCGCCGCCGGAGUACAUGUACGGCCCGCCGGGCAUGCGGUCGUCCCCGCCGCAGGAGCCGUACAACAACAUGUUCAACGAGGAGAACCCCAGUUCCUGUAGCGUCAUGUGA
This 1029-nucleotide ribosomal RNA is filed under the name Triticum aestivum (bread wheat). RNAcentral's name for it is "partial small subunit ribosomal RNA". Lineage: Eukaryota; Viridiplantae; Streptophyta; Magnoliopsida; Poales; Poaceae. The record is from RNAcentral.